AUUGAACGCUGGCGGCAUGCUUUACACAUGCAAGUCGAACGGCAGCGCGGGCUUCGGCCUGGCGGCGAGUGGCGAACGGGCGAGUAAUGCAUCGGAACGUGCCCAGCAGUGGGGGAUAGCCCGGCGAAAGCCGGAUUAAUACCGCAUACGACCUGAGGGCGGACGCGGGGGACCGAAAGGCCUCGCGCCAUUGGAGCAGUCGAUGUCGGAUUAGCUAGUUGGUGGGGUAAAGGCUUACCAAGGCGACGAUCCGUAGCUGGUCUGAGAGGACGACCAGCCACACUGGGACUGAGACACGGCCCAGACUCCUACGGGAGGCAGCAGUGGGGAAUUUUGGACAAUGGGGGCAACCCUGAUCCAGCCAUGCCGCGUGCGGGAAGAAGGCCUUCGGGUUGUAAACCGCUUUUGUUCGGGAAGAAAUCCUCUGGGCUAAUACCCCGCGGGGAUGACGGUACCGGAAGAAUAAGCACCGGCUAACUACGUG
Molecule: ribosomal RNA, 484 nt
Filed under: uncultured bacterium
Lineage: Bacteria
Description: partial 16S ribosomal RNA
Rfam family: Bacterial small subunit ribosomal RNA
Source: RNAcentral